RNAcentral lists this ribosomal RNA (481 nucleotides) under uncultured bacterium. Its description in RNAcentral is "bacterial SSU rRNA". It matches the Rfam family "Bacterial small subunit ribosomal RNA", at positions 335 to 799 of the family's 1533-position model. The record is from RNAcentral.
ACUCCUACGGGAGGCAGCAGUGGGAAUAUUGGACAAUGGGGGCAACCCGUAGCAUCCAGCCAUGCCGCGUGUGCGAUGAAGGCCGCUUUCGGGGUUGUAAAAGCACUUUCAGUCGGGAGGAAAGGCGUAACGCUAAUAUCGUUGCGAGUUGACGUUACCGACAGAAGAAGCACCGGCAAACUCCGUGCCAGCAGCCGCGGUAAUACGGAGGGUGCAAGCGUUAAUCGGAAUUACUGGGCGUAAAGCGCAUGCAGGUGGUUUGUUAAGUCAGAUGUGAAAGCCCGGGGCUCAACCUCGGAAUUGCAUUUGAAACUGGCAGACUAGAGUACUGUAGAGGGGGGUGAGAAUUGUCAGGUGUAGCGGUGAAAUGCGUAGAGAUCUGAAGGAAUACCGGUGGCGAAGGCGGCCCCCUGGCACAGAUACUGACACUCAGAUGCGAAAGCGUGGGAGCAAACAGGAUUAGAAACCCUGGUAGGCUCUG